UGUAGAGGCGAGGCGAGGCGAGGCGAGCCGUGCCGGGCUGUGCCGAGCCGUGCCGGGCUGUGCCGCGCAUGCCGGGGGGCUCCCGAGCGGGCCCCCAGCGCCCGGGGAGCCCCGGCCCCAUGGAGUGCUACUACAUCGUCAUCAGCUCGGCGCACCUCAGCAACGGGCACUUUCGCAACAUCAAGGGAGUUUUCCGAGGUCCCCUGAGCAAGAACGGGGACAAAACUCUGGAUUAUGCUGAAAAGAAAAACACGAUAGCAAAAGCCCUGGAAGAUCUUAAAGCCAACUUCUACUGUGAACUCUGUGACAAGCAGUACUAUAAACAUCAGGAGUUUGACAAUCACAUUAACUCAUAUGAUCAUGCUCACAAACAGAGACUCAAGGAACUGAAGCAGAGGGAAUUUGCUCGAAAUGUAGCAUCGAAGUCAAGAAAAGAUGAAAGGAAACAGGAAAAAGCCCUUCAACGUUUGCACAAGUUAGCUGAGCUAAGGAAAGAGACAGCGUGUGCUCCUGGAAGUGGCCCCAUGUUCAAAUCCACUACAGUGACUGUGCAAGAUAAUUCCAAUGAUAUCCCACAAAAUGCUGCCAUAGAUUCUGCCAACAAACAGGAUUUCAGCUGUACAUUAAUAAACGAUGUGCAGAACUGCAAAGAUGCUACUUCAGUUAUUUCUUCCACUCCUGAAAAUGUGUGUAGUAAUAAAUCUGACACUAACAAAUUUGGAGAUCAAGUUCAAGGAGCUCAAGGGCAACGAGUUGGGUUCUCUUUUGCUUUUCCUAAGAAAGCAGCAGUCAAACUGGAGUCUUCAGCUGCCGUUUUCUAUGAAUAUAAUGAUGAAACAUCCACAGAACAUGGAUUUAGCAGAAGAAGUAGAUUUAUUCCAGGAGUCUGUAGUCUUCAGUCUCCAUCAGCGGCAGAAAUAGUCCUGUGCCCCGAGGAGAAAAAUAGCUGUUUCCACCCAGUGGUGGAAAAAUGCACUGACACAGCAGAAGCUCCCAAAACUCAGGAUUCAAAAGAGCUGGCUAGUGAAGAAAGUAGAGAGCUAGAGAGUCCUGUAUUAAUUCCUGCUGUUUCCCAUUCAAAGCAACUAAUGUCUUCUGACAUGGAUGGCUGCAGUACUGAUGGAAAUACAGCAGAUGUACCAAGUCAAACACUGUCCACAGUUGUGGACAGUACUCAUAACAUACCCCUGGGCUGCAGCAGUUGUGAACUGCUGGGAAAUGGAACUAUCACUCAGACUGUGGUGGAGGAUUGUCUAACCCUUCAGAACAUUGUAGAGGAAAAUGGUAAAGAUGGGAACAGUGAAGUCACAGUUGAAACUGAAAUAAAGAAUCUGGAGGCAGAUCCAUUAGUUCCAUCACAUUCUGAAGAUGGUAGUAGAGCCCCCCAAAGCAAGCUGGACACGCGCAAGCGAUCUUGUGAACCAUUUGUUCCUGUUCUUAGCAAACAUGGAACAAAUGUUCUUCAGUGGCCAUCAGAAAUGUUAAUUUACACAAGUACAGAUCCGUCAAUUUCUUAUAGCUGUAAUCCUUUAUAUUUUGACUUCAAGUUGUCAAAAGUGAGUGACAACCAAGAAAAGCGCAAGCAUCAGCCAAGCAUACCUCAUUUACAACUCACAACUGAAUCCAACCAUAGCUCAGUCUCAGAUUUUACAAAUAAACCUACUUCAGAGUGUGGUGAUCAUGAAACGGAAGUGGAUAAAAAUGUGUGUGACUACACAAUACCCCUUAUAAGUGAUGUUUCCCACAUCAGGAAUUGUGAUCUUGCAAAAAUUCAAAAUAAAGUGUCCUUGGGUGAGUCAUUCAGGAUUAGAAAAUUAGAAAAGUAUCACAUUUCAAGAAACCACUUAAGACAAAGCACUGUGAUAGAUGAGAAAUAUAACAAAGUUCGGAUCAAAGAAAGUCAUGAAAAAUGGCUUCACAGAAGUAGAAAACGAAAAAGGAGAAGAAAAUUAUGUCAUUGUCAUCAUCAUCAUCCUUCUGGGGAAGCAACAUUUGUAGAAAUGGAGAUUUCCUCAGUGACUGAAAAGGAAAUUAGUCACAGAGAUGAAAAUAAGUAUCUGCACCUCCAAAAUAACCCAGAGAAAUGUAGAUAUGAUGCAGGGAAUAUUUGGUUAGCUAUGGAUGAGGUACAGCAGUCACAUCAAAAAGCUGGCCUUGACAAUGGUCAUAAAAGAAGCACGUCUACAUCAGAUCACAUACAUGGGGACAGAGGCUCGUGUGACAUUUGGAAUGCAAAAACUAGGGACCAACGCAGUGGUUGUAGACUACUGCACAGAAAGAGAAAAGCAAGCUCUCGGAGACAAUUAAAGCAUCUGUCUCAAACUUCUAGGAGGCACAACUGCAUGUGCUCUAAAAUGUGCUGUAGUUGGAAAGUCAGGAGACUGGUCUGUAGCCCAGAGCAUAAAUGUUUAGGUCCCUGCAGUGAGGCAAAGAGUAUGAGUCAAAAUCACUCCGUAAAGAGAAGUUACAACUUUCUGACAGAUGAACCGGAAAAAUCCCACAGGAAGCGGAGACAGCAUACCUAUUCCUGUUCUUCAGAUGAAAGCUCGUAUGGACAGACAUUUUUAGAAGAAGGAUAUGUAAGGCAAACAAGCACUUCAGGUAUGCAUCACAAAGAAAAAUGUAAACACAGAAGGAGGAAAACUAGAAUCAAACAUGUAUGCAUUGACAGGAAUACAAGAAGUGAGACCUCCAGGCCUUCUAAAGAAAACUCUGCAAAUUCCACAUUAAAUGUUUUGGGAGAAUUCUUGACUCGAGACAACAUGGAGGAAACUAAUGUGGAUCCCAAAGCUGAUCAUGCAAAAGUUACAGAUGAAACAAUGCAACUGGAGGAAAACAAGUCAGCCCUACAAAUGUAUAGUUCACAUUUGUUGGAAAAAGACACGCUGACAGAUUGUGUGGCACCAGAGAGCACUCCAGGUGCACCUUCAGAAGCUGUCACACAUUCUGCUGCUUCUGCUGCUGAGUGUGGUGCCCCCGCAUCUGCAAACACACAGGACAUUCUGGAGGAUGAAAAGAAAAACGAAAAUGUAAACAGUCAUGAAAAUCAAGCUCAUUAUAAAGCUCCACCUGCCACUAGACCUUUGGAACAAGCUCCUCCUAAAUCAUAUGUUUGCCAUUAUGAAUUGGCCGAGUCUCUGCCAUGUGAGAAGAUAAAUGAGGUGACCAAUGAAUGGGUACAGUGUAAUUCUGGCAUAUUUGACAGCCCACCACCUUUGCCAUUCAAAGAAGCACAUAUAAACAGUCACACCUUUUUAACUACUGAGCAGUUAAUAGCCCCCUUCACCCUGCCUGACCAGACGUUGAUAUUCCCUCCAGAUAACCACGAAAAAUUCAAAGACCUCCCAUCCGAGGCGUAUCAGCAGCUCAUGCAGCAAAACAUGCUGGCCAACAAAGUGAAGUUUACCUUUCCUCCCCCAGCCAUCCAGCCCCCCAGCUCUCCAUUGCAGCCCCUACCGUUGCAGCCACCGCUGUGUUCUACCUCUGUUACCACCAUCCAUCACACUGUCCUGCAGCAGCACGCAGCCGCUGCCGCCGCCGCCAGUACGUUUAAGGUCCUCCAGCCCCACCAGCAGUUCCUCUCGCAGGUCCCGGCUCUGUCCAGAGCGCCUUUACCUCAUCUGCCGGUAGGACCUAGGCUUUGUCCAGGAGGCCACGCGGCUUUUGUCGCUCCACCGCAUUUGCCGCUGGUGCCGCCCUCGGUCCUGCACCCGACCCAGCUGGCGUUCUCACCGCUGCCACAUGCCGUGUUCCCCUCCCUGCUGUCCCCGCAUCCGGCUGUCCUUCCGCUGCAGCCCCUCUUCUAGGACAGGUUCUCGGAGUGGGAAAGGAGCCUUCAGAUAAACAGACUUGUGGUUCCUGUCAAGCCCUCAGCUUUGCAGAAUGGUUCUGUGAAAUAAACUGGUCGAAAUUCCUCUUUCAUUGGGAAACAUUUACUAGACUUCUCCCUACCUCUGCAACCUUUUUAUUGCUGUUGAACCUCACCUGACUUCAGCCAGUGAAAUCUUCUCAUUUGCUUUAAUACAAGAUAUAUCAGGCCCACACCUGUGAUGGCCUAAAAUAAAACCAGAAGUGAGGCAGAGCUAGCUGUAUGAGUUAAAAUGAAGUCUAGCCACAUGAGUGAAACUAAGAAUUUGCACCAUGACCUUUAGUGCUAGAAGUAGAUCCUCCAUAAUAAAAGGUAGGGGCUAGCUUUCAAAUUAAUUACUUCUUUUCACUUUUUUAUAUAUGAUAAUAGAAUUAUAUACAGUUGAACUGAAGGAAUAGUAAUUUUGGAAGAUUAUUAAUAUACAUUGCAUAUUAAUAGUUACAUGCAUUAUCCAUUUGAAAAGUAAUAUUAUAUCCUGAAAGAUAUGUAGCUGGUUAUUAUUUUCUGCACCUAUAGCAUUAGAACUUACCUAUAUCAAUAUUGCAAGUCUUAGUAUAAUAUUGUGUUAAAACUGUAGCAAACAUCUUUUCAACUGUGUUGGAUACUCAAUGGAUGUGAGCUUUCCUUGUCAUGUCAUUACAAAGGGCUAAACUACAUUAAUAAAAAGUCGAUGAGAAAGAAUAGAUGAAUGGUUUGGUCAUGGGCUGCUUCUCAUAACCCCUGCCUGAGACUGGCAGGGAGCAGGACGUUGUUGAGCAUCUAUCCGUAUAAUGGCAUAAAGAGGGUAUAUUUUCUCUAGCUUGUAAUUUCAAGUGAAUGCCCAUUUCUAUUUAUCUGGUACCUGUACAACGCAUUUUAAGUGACUUUAUCCUGCUUCUUUAUGUCAAGAAUAUGCCUGCUCAAUCUGUAUGUCUCCACUACCUCCUGUAGCAGGCAGGUGUCCCACGCCUGUGUGUAAGCCAUGUUGCUCAAGCACUGGAACCUGUAUUUGAAACCUGAAGGUGUGUGCUUGCCACUCAGCCUCCUACCUUAGCUGGCUUGCGCUGGCUUUUGUAUUUCUGCACUCCUUGGCAGGAGUCAGCAUACAUGUUCUUUCUCCUGGAUCCCAAUGUCUUGUCAAAGAAAAUGAUCUAAUACUAUAGACUUGAAAAAAAGAAAUAAUAGGACAAUUGUGGUUAUACGUGAUCCAUAUCCAUUUUAUCCAUUUU
RNA transcript from Cygnus atratus (black swan), 5076 nucleotides. It is a transcript of the gene named zinc finger protein 804A, with no coding region annotated. Lineage: Eukaryota; Metazoa; Chordata; Aves; Anseriformes; Anatidae. The record is from RefSeq and is a predicted model, not a curated record. The transcript is spliced from 5 exons.